RNAcentral lists this ribosomal RNA (462 nucleotides) under uncultured bacterium. Its description in RNAcentral is "partial 16S ribosomal RNA". It matches the Rfam family "Bacterial small subunit ribosomal RNA", at positions 28 to 507 of the family's 1533-position model. The record is from RNAcentral.
GACGAACGCUGGCGGCGUGCUUAACACAUGCAAGUCGAGCGGUAAGGCCUUUCGGUGUACACUAGCGGCGAACGGGUGAGUAACACGUGGGUGAUCUGCCCUGCACUUCGGGAUAAGCCUGUGACUCUGGGUCUAAUACCCGAUAUGACCUCCUAUCGCAUGGUGGGUGGUUGAAAGAUUUAUCGGUGCAUGUUGGGCCCGCUGCCUAUCAGCUUGUUGGUGGGGUAAUGGCCUACCAAGGCGACGACGGGUAGCCGACCUGUGAGGGUGACCGGCCACAAUGGGACUGAGACACGGAGCAGAAUGCUACGGGAGGCAGCAGUGGGGAAUAUUGCAGAAUGGGCGAAAGCCAGAUGCAGAGACGCCGCGUGAGGGAUGACGGCCUUCGAGGGGUAAACCUAUGUGAGCAGGGACGAAGAGGAAGUGACGGUACCUGCAGAAGAAGCACCGGCUAACUACGUG